AGAGUUUGAUCCUGGCUCAGGACGAACGCUGACGGUGUGCUUUAGGCAUGCAAGUCGAACGAGAAAGCCCUUCGGGGUGAGUAAAGUGGCGAACGGGUGAGUAACACGUGGGCAACCUGCCCCUCGCAGGGGGACAACCGGAGGAAACUCCGGCUAAUACCCCGUAAGCUCUACACGCCGCAUGGCGAGUAGAGGAAAGGUAGCUUCGGCCAUCCGGCGAGGGAUGGGCCCGCGGUGCAUUAGCUAGUUGGUGGGGUAACGGCCCACCAAGGCGACGAUGCGUAGCUGGUCUGAGAGGAUGAUCAGCCACACUGGGACUGAGACACGGCCCAGACUCCUACGGGAGGCAGCAGCCAGGAAUCUUGGGCAAUGGGCGAAAGCCUGACCCAGCAACACCGUGUGGGUGAUGAAGGCCUUCGGGUCGUAAAGCCCUGUUGAUAGGGACGAAGGGCGAAGGGCUAAUAGCCCGGAGCUUGACGGUACCUUUCGAGGAAGCCCCGGCUAACUACGUGCCAGCAGCCGCGGUAAUACGUAGGGGGCGAGCGUUGUCCGGAAUUAUUGGGCGUAAAGAGCGUGUAGGCGGUUCGGUAAGUCUGUCGUGAAAUCCUGGGGCUCAACCCUGGGCGUGCGAUGGAUACUGCCGGGCUAGAGGGUGGUAGAGGCGAGUGGAAUUCCCGGUGUAGCGGUGAAAUGCGCAGAUAUCGGGAGGAACACCAGUAGCGAAGGCGGCUCGCUGGGCCACACCUGACGCUGAGACGCGAAAGCUAGGGGAGCGAACAGGAUUAGAUACCCCGGUAGUCC
Molecule: ribosomal RNA, 801 nt
Filed under: uncultured Rubrobacter sp.
Lineage: Bacteria; Bacillati; Actinomycetota; Rubrobacteria; Rubrobacterales; Rubrobacteraceae
Description: bacterial SSU rRNA
Rfam family: Bacterial small subunit ribosomal RNA
Source: RNAcentral